UGCAAGUCGAACGCCCCGCAAGGGGAGUGGCAGACGGGUGAGUAACGCGUGGGAAUCUACCGAGCCCUACGGAAUAACGCAUGGAAACGUGUGCUAAUACCGUAUACGCCCUUAGGGGGAAAGAUUUAUCGGGGUUUGAUGAGCCCGCGUUGGAUUAGCUAGUUGGUGGGGUAAAGGCCUACCAAGGCGACGAUCCAUAGCUGGUCUGAGAGGAUGAUCAGCCACAUUGGGACUGAGACACGGCCCAAACUCCUACGGGAGGCAGCAGUGGGGAAUAUUGGACAAUGGGCGCAAGCCUGAUCCAGCCAUGCCGCGUGAGUGAUGAAGGUCUUAGGAUUGUAAAGCUCUUUCACUGGAGAAGAUAAUGACGGUAUCCGGAGAAGAAGCCCCGGCUAACUUCGUGCCAGCAGCCGCGGUAAUACGAAGGGGGCUAGCGUUGUUCGGAAUUACUGGGCGUAAAGCGCACGUAGGCGGAUAUUUAAGUCAGGGGUGAAAUCCCAGAGCUCAACUCUGGAACUGCCUUUGAUACUGGGUAUCUAGAGUAUGGAAGAGGUGAGUGGAAUUCCGAGUGUAGAGGUGAAAUUCGUAGAUAUUCGGAGGAACACCAGUGGCGAAGGCGGCUCACUGGUCCAUUACUGACGCUGAGGUGCGAAAGCGUGGGGAGCAAACAGGAUUAGAUACCCUG
Molecule: ribosomal RNA, 685 nt
Filed under: uncultured bacterium
Lineage: Bacteria
Description: bacterial SSU rRNA
Rfam family: Bacterial small subunit ribosomal RNA
Source: RNAcentral